Small RNA from Oryza sativa Indica Group (long-grained rice), 177 nucleotides. It matches the Rfam family "STAXI RNA". Lineage: Eukaryota; Viridiplantae; Streptophyta; Magnoliopsida; Poales; Poaceae. The record is from Rfam.
CGUUGUCUUCGGACAACCACCAAUGCUCAAUGGGUCUGUGAUGAACGCCUUCGGGUGACCUAGCUGUCAGUCGACAGCCACCAAUGAUCCUGUCACUUGUGAGGAUCGCCUUCGGGUAGUGGCAAAAAACGCUUCCGUAGCUUGAAAGGAAGCACGCCGUUUACGGUGUAGUACAUC